AAGGGAAUCUUUCGCUAUGGGCGAAAGCUUGACGGAGCAUCGUUGCGUGAGUGAUGAAGGUCUUCGGAUCGUACAACUCUGUUAUUAGGGCAGAACAUAUGUGUAAGUAACUAUGCACGUUUUGACGGUACUUAAUCAGAAAGCCACGGCUAACUACGUGCCAGCAGUCGCGGUAAUACGUAUGUGGCAAUCGUUAUCUGGAAUUAUUUGGCGUAAAGCGCGCGUAGGCGGUUUUUUAAGUCUGAUGUGAAAGCCCACGGCUCAACCGUAGAGGGUCAUUGGAAACUGAAAAACUUGAGUGCAGAAGAGGAAAGUGGAAUUCCAUGGGUAGAGGAGAAAUGCGCAGAGAUAUGGAGGAACACCAGUGGCGAAGGCGACUUUCUGGUCUGUAACUGACGCUGAUGUGCAAAAGCGGGGGUAUCAAACAUG
This 429-nucleotide ribosomal RNA is filed under the name Actinomycetes bacterium. RNAcentral's name for it is "Actinobacteria bacterium partial 16S ribosomal RNA". It matches the Rfam family "Bacterial small subunit ribosomal RNA", at positions 355 to 776 of the family's 1533-position model. The record is from RNAcentral. Lineage: Bacteria; Bacillati; Actinomycetota; Actinomycetes.